UCCUUAGAUGUCCUGGGCUGCACGCGCGCUACACUGAUGUGUCCAGUAAGCACCUAACCUCUUCCGAAAGGAACGGGUAACCUUUGCAAAGCACAUCGUGAUGGGGAUAGAUUAUUGCAAUUAUUAGUCUUGAACGAGGAAUUCCUAGUAAGCACAAGUCAUCAGCUUGUGUUGAUUACGUCCCUGCCCUUUGUACACACCGCCCGUCGCUCCUACCGAUUGAAUGUUCCGGUGAGCUCUUCGGACUGCGCGGUCUGCAGUUCCUGCGUUCCGUGCGGAAAGUUGCGCAAACCUUAACAUUUAGAGGAAGGAGAAGUCGUAACA
Molecule: ribosomal RNA, 324 nt
Filed under: uncultured eukaryote
Lineage: Eukaryota
Description: partial 18S ribosomal RNA
Rfam family: Eukaryotic small subunit ribosomal RNA
Source: RNAcentral